CCUACGGGAGGCAGCAGUGAGGAAUAUUGGUCAAUGGACGCAAGUCUGAACCAGCCAUGCCGCGUGCAGGAUGACGGCUCUAUGAGUUGUAAACUGCUUUUGUACGAGGGUAAAUCCCGAUACGUGUAUCGGGUUGAAAGUAUCGUACGAAUAAGGAUCGGCUAACUCCGUGCCCGCAGCCGCUGUAAUACGGAGGAUUCCAGCGUUAUCCGGAUUCAUUGGGCUUAAAGGGAGCGUAGGCGGGCGUUCAAGUCAGCUGUAAAAUCGCGCGGCUCAAACGCGCCCCGCAGUUGAAACUGGACUCCUUGAGUGUGCAACAGGCAGGCGGAAUGCGUGGUGUAGCGGUGAAAUGCAUAGAUAUCACGAGGAACCCCGAUUGCGAAGGCAGCCUGCCGGGGUGCGACUGACGCUGAGGCUCGAAGGUGCGGGUAUCGAACAGGAUUAGAUACCCGUGUAGUC
This 459-nucleotide ribosomal RNA is filed under the name uncultured bacterium. RNAcentral describes it as "partial 16S ribosomal RNA". It matches the Rfam family "Bacterial small subunit ribosomal RNA", at positions 338 to 795 of the family's 1533-position model. The record is from RNAcentral.